This 740-nucleotide ribosomal RNA is filed under the name uncultured bacterium. RNAcentral's name for it is "bacterial SSU rRNA". It matches the Rfam family "Bacterial small subunit ribosomal RNA", at positions 8 to 796 of the family's 1533-position model. The record is from RNAcentral.
AGAGUUUGAUCAUGGCUCAGAACGAACGCUGGCGGCAGGCUUAACACAUGCAAGUCGAGCGCCCCGCAAGGGGAGCGGCAGACGGGUGAGUAACGCGUGGGAACGUGCCCUAAGGUACGGAACAACUCCGGGAAACUGGAGCUAAUACCGUAUGUGACCGAGAGGUGAAAGAUUUAUCGCCUUGGGAUCGGCCCGCGUUAGAUUAGCUAGUUGGUGGGGUAAAAGCCUACCAAGGCGACGAUCUAUAGCUGGUCUGAGAGGACGAUCAGCCACACUGGGACUGAGACACGGCCCAGACUCCUACGGGAGGCAGCAGUGGGGAAUCUUGGACAAUGGGCGCAAGCCUGAUCCAGCCAUGCCGCGUGAGUGAUGAAGGCCCUAGGGUUGUAAAACUCUUUCGUCAGGGACGAUAAUGACGGUACCUGAAGAAGAAGCCCCGGCUAACUUCGUGCCAGCAGCCGCGGUAAUACGAAGGGGGCUAGCGUUGUUCGGAUUUACUGGGCGUAAAGCGCAUGUAGGCGGGUCGUUAAGUUGGGGGUGAAAUCCCGGAGCUUAACUCCGGAAUUGCCUUCAAAACUGGCGGCCUGGAGCAGAAGAGAGGCGAGUGGAAUUCCGAGUGUAGAGGUGAAAUUCGUAGAUAUUCGGAGGAACACCAGUGGCGAAGGCGGCUCGCUGGCUUCUUGCUGACGCUGAGAUGCGAAAGCGUGGGGAGCAAACAGGAUUAGAUACCCUAGUAGUCC